Molecule: ribosomal RNA, 1845 nt
Filed under: Escherichia coli
Lineage: Bacteria; Pseudomonadati; Pseudomonadota; Gammaproteobacteria; Enterobacterales; Enterobacteriaceae
Description: partial 23S ribosomal RNA
Rfam family: Bacterial large subunit ribosomal RNA
Source: RNAcentral
UGUGAGCUCGAUGAGUAGGGCGGGACACGUGGUAUCCUGUCUGAAUAUGGGGGGACCAUCCUCCAAGGCUAAAUACUCCUGACUGACCGAUAGUGAACCAGUACCGUGAGGGAAAGGCGAAAAGAACCCCGGCGAGGGGAGUGAAAAAGAACCUGAAACCGUGUACGUACAAGCAGUGGGAGCACGCUUAGGCGUGUGACUGCGUACCUUUUGUAUAAUGGGUCAGCGACUUAUAUUCUGUAGCAAGGUUAACCGAAUAGGGGAGCCGAAGGGAAACCGAGUCUUAACUGGGCGUUAAGUUGCAGGGUAUAGACCCGAAACCCGGUGAUCUAGCCAUGGGCAGGUUGAAGGUUGGGUAACACUAACUGGAGGACCGAACCGACUAAUGUUGAAAAAUUAGCGGAUGACUUGUGGCUGGGGGUGAAAGGCCAAUCAAACCGGGAGAUAGCUGGUUCUCCCCGAAAGCUAUUUAGGUAGCGCCUCGUGAAUUCAUCUCCGGGGGUAGAGCACUGUUUCGGCAAGGGGGUCAUCCCGACUUACCAACCCGAUGCAAACUGCGAAUACCGGAGAAUGUUAUCACGGGAGACACACGGCGGGUGCUAACGUCCGUCGUGAAGAGGGAAACAACCCAGACCGCCAGCUAAGGUCCCAAAGUCAUGGUUAAGUGGGAAACGAUGUGGGAAGGCCCAGACAGCCAGGAUGUUGGCUUAGAAGCAGCCAUCAUUUAAAGAAAGCGUAAUAGCUCACUGGUCGAGUCGGCCUGCGCGGAAGAUGUAACGGGGCUAAACCAUGCACCGAAGCUGCGGCAGCGACGCUUAUGCGUUGUUGGGUAGGGGAGCGUUCUGUAAGCCUGUGAAGGUGUGCUGUGAGGCAUGCUGGAGGUAUCAGAAGUGCGAAUGCUGACAUAAGUAACGAUAAAGCGGGUGAAAAGCCCGCUCGCCGGAAGACCAAGGGUUCCUGUCCAACGUUAAUCGGGGCAGGGUGAGUCGACCCCUAAGGCGAGGCCGAAAGGCGUAGUCGAUGGGAAACAGGUUAAUAUUCCUGUACUUGGUGUUACUGCGAAGGGGGGACGGAGAAGGCUAUGUUGGCCGGGCGACGGUUGUCCCGGUUUAAGCGUGUAGGCUGGUUUUCCAGGCAAAUCCGGAAAAUCAAGGCUGAGGCGUGAUGACGAGGCACUACGGUGCUGAAGCAACAAAUGCCCUGCUUCCAGGAAAAGCCUCUAAGCAUCAGGUAACAUCAAAUCGUACCCCAAACCGACACAGGUGGUCAGGUAGAGAAUACCAAGGCGCUUGAGAGAACUCGGGUGAAGGAACUAGGCAAAAUGGUGCCGUAACUUCGGGAGAAGGCACGCUGAUAUGUAGGUGAAGUCCCUUGCGGAUGGAGCUGAAAUCAGUCGAAGAUACCAGCUGGCUGCAACUGUUUAUUAAAAACACAGCACUGUGCAAACACGAAAGUGGACGUAUACGGUGUGACGCCUGCCCGGUGCCGGAAGGUUAAUUGAUGGGGUCAGCGCAAGCGAAGCUCUUGAUCGAAGCCCCGGUAAACGGCGGCCGUAACUAUAACGGUCCUAAGGUAGCGAAAUUCCUUGUCGGGUAAGUUCCGACCUGCACGAAUGGCGUAAUGAUGGCCAGGCUGUCUCCACCCGAGACUCAGUGAAAUUGAACUCGCUGUGAAGAUGCAGUGUACCCGCGGCAAGACGGAAAGACCCCGUGAACCUUUACUAUAGCUUGACACUGAACAUUGAGCCUUGAUGUGUAGGAUAGGUGGGAGGCUUUGAAGUGUGGACGCCAGUCUGCAUGGAGCCGACCUUGAAAUACCACCCUUUAAUGUUUGAUGUUCUAACGU